This 473-nucleotide ribosomal RNA is filed under the name uncultured organism. Its description in RNAcentral is "partial 16S ribosomal RNA". It matches the Rfam family "Bacterial small subunit ribosomal RNA", at positions 332 to 797 of the family's 1533-position model. The record is from RNAcentral.
UACACUCCUACGGGAGGCAGCAGUGGGGAAUUUUGGACAAUGGGCGAAAGCCUGAUCCAGCAAUGCCGCGUGAGUGAAGAAGGCCUUCGGGUUGUAAAGCUCUUUUGUCAGGGAAGAAACGGUGAGAGCUGAUAUCUCUUGCUAAUGACGGUACCUGAAGAAUAAGCACCGGCUAACUACGUGCCAGCAGCCGCGGUAAUACGUAGGGUGCAAGCGUUAAUCGGAAUUACUGGGCGUAAAGCGUGCGCAGGCGGUUUUGUAAGUCUGAUGUGAAAUCCCCGGGCUCAACCUGGGAAUUGCAUUGGAGACUGCAAGGCUAGAAUCUGGCAGAGGGGGGUAGAAUUCCACGUGUAGCAGUGAAAUGCGUAGAUAUGUGGAGGAACACCGAUGGCGAAGGCAGCCCCCUGGGUCAAGAUUGACGCUCAUGCACGAAAGCGUGGGGAGCAAACAGGAUUAGAAACCCUUGUAGUCCC